Coffea eugenioides is the source of this 94-nucleotide small nucleolar RNA. The record is from RefSeq and is a predicted model, not a curated record. NCBI's taxonomy places the organism in Eukaryota, Viridiplantae, Streptophyta, Magnoliopsida, Gentianales, Rubiaceae.
AUGUGGCAAUGAUGAUAAGUGUUAAUUCCAGCUCAUUAUGAGACCUUCCUAGGUCAGGGAAUUGAACUGAUUAAACAUCUUUCUGAGCUUACAU